ACGUACACUCCUGCGGGAGGCAGCAGUAGGGAAUCUUCGGCAAUGGGGGCAACCCUGACCGAGCAACGCCGCGUGAGUGAAGAAGGUUUUCGGAUCGUAAAGCUCUGUUGUAAGUCAAGAACGAGUGUGAGAGUGGAAAGUUCACACUGUGACGGUAGCUUACCAGAAAGGGACGGCUAACUACGUGCCAGCAGCCGCGGUAAUACGUAGGUCCCGAGCGUUGUCCGGAUUUAUUGGGCGUAAAGCGAGCGCAGGCGGUUUGAUAAGUCUGAAGUUAAAGGCUGUGGCUCAACCAUAGUUCGCUUUGGAAACUGUCAAACUUGAGUGCAGAAGGGGAGAGUGGAAUUCCAUGUGUAGCGGUGAAAUGCGUAGAUAUAUGGAGGAACACCGGUGGCGAAAGCGGCUCUCUGGUCUGUAACUGACGCUGAGGCUCGAAAGCGUGGGGAGCGAACAGGAUUAGAAACCCUUGUAGUCCCA
Molecule: ribosomal RNA, 477 nt
Filed under: uncultured organism
Description: partial 16S ribosomal RNA
Rfam family: Bacterial small subunit ribosomal RNA
Source: RNAcentral